Molecule: long non-coding RNA, 5940 nt
Filed under: Gadus morhua (Atlantic cod)
Lineage: Eukaryota; Metazoa; Chordata; Actinopteri; Gadiformes; Gadidae
Description: lncRNA (ENSGMOG00000024510.1)
Source: RNAcentral
AUGUCAAAGUCAGGUUAUGAUAGUGACACAGAGGAGCAAAUGGCUGGUUCUCAGCAUGAAGUUCAGGAUUUGCAGAGGGAGCUCCACUCAGUGGCAGACUCAUCAUGCCUGAAGGAAACGACUGAAGUGGUGGAAGAAGGUCAGAGUCAUCUCCAAGGUAAACUGGAUGACCCACCUGGAGGUCCCAGACGUUCCGAACGUGCACGGAACCCUACCGAGAAGAUGCGUGCACUACAAGCGGAGGAGGCCAAGAAAAUGGAGAAAGGGCUGCUCUCCAUGUACGAGCAAUGGAAACUCAAAAUACGAAAAGCAAGAGAUCAACUGAAGUCCUACAUGCCAGAUGAUGAGCUCUGGCCUCUCGUGGAAGAACUUAGGAAAAGUAAGGAAGACAUAAUGAACAUAUAUUCUGAAAUGCGAGAUCUUGCCACACCUUCCACUGAUAUCAGACGACGAGUCGAUACUUGUGAAUCAGUCACCACAGAAAUCAUUAUCAUUGCCCACAACAGAGCAAUAGAUGAUGAAGUUGAGUUUAACGAGAAGCAGGAAAGACAUCGCCUUCAUGAACUCCUCCACCGUGACUAUGCAAAGUCUGUCUAUGGAUCCGCCGCGUCCUUGACAAGUCAUAGCAAGUCUGACCAUAACUCCAUGACUUCCUCUAUGGCGGCCAAGCGUGCGGAUGCAGCAGCAGAACUAGCAGUGAAGGAAACCAAUUAUGAGAUGAUGAUAGCCGAAGAGAGACAAAGGGAAGUGAUUCGAGAGUUAGAGGAACAACAGAGGAUAGCUCUAGAGGCACAAAGGUAUGAGUUGGAGCGACUGCAGGCAGAGAAGGAAGUGCGAGCAGCUAAGGCCAAGCUGAAUGUGUACAAUAAGGAGACAGAACAUAAAGCUGCUGACUGCAUCAACAUUGAAAAGGAUAAGGAAGCAACGAACGUGCCUGUAACUGCCGUCUCGCCAUCCAAUGUUGCAACACCCUCUCAUAAAGACAUUUCCUCACUGGCUCAGGUCUUUCAAGACAGCAUAGCCUUGAAUAGGCUCCCUGUUCCAGAGCCAUUCGUCUUCAAUGGUGAUCCAAUACGAUUCACUGAAUGGAAAGCAUCGUUUUCUUCGCUCAUUGACCAAAGAGCUAUCACUCCAGCUGAAAAACUCUAUUAUUUGAAGAAGUAUGUUGCCGGCCCAGCACGCCAGGUGCUAGAUGGCACCUUUUUCCGAAACGAUGAUGAAGCCUACCAGGAUGCCUGGAACAAGCUCACUCGUCGCUUCGGCCAGCCCUUUGCCAUUCAGAGAGCAUUCAGAGAGAAGCUUACCAAUUGGCCUAGGAUACAACCUAAAGAUGCCGAGGGACUCAGAAACUUCUCUGAUUUUCUAAAUGCCUGUCAAGAUGCCAUGCCUCAUGUCAAGGGUCUCGACAUAUUAAACGACUGCGAGGAAAACCAGAAGCUUGUCUAUAAACUACCAGACUGGGCAGCUUCACGCUGGAACCGACAAGCCACACGAAGCCUGAACGAUAGGCAAGAAUUCCCAAGUUUCAAGGACUUUGCAAUAUUUGUGUCAACUGAAGCUGAGAUUGCCUGCAAUCCAAUUACGUCGCUUUAUGCUCUUCGCUCAUCAGACUCUAACGCUGAAAAGAGAAAUCUCAGAGACACAAAGACAAACCAGGCCAGUGUUUACACCACUCAAGCAGCUACGGACAUCUUCAACAAAGGGUCAGAACAGAGAAAAACAUGUAUUCUCUGUCAAGAUAAUAGACACCAGCUUCAUGCGUGUCCCAAGUUUACAGAAAUGUUGUUGGUAGAGCGACGGAACUAUGUAAAGGAGAAGAAACUCUGCUACGGAUGCCUAAAAUUCGGCCACAGCGCAAAAAGCUGUCGUCAUCGCCACUGUUGCGACAACUGUAAAGGAAAACAUCCGACGGCCCUCCACGAUUACAACUAUGGGAAGGAGAAGUCUUCAUCAGAAGCAGCAACAAAUCAAAGAGCUGCUGCAACGUCGCUCAGUGUUGCAGGCGAAGGCUCAUCCUACACAUCGAUGGUGAUGCCAGUGUGGGUGUCAUCCAAAAACAACCCAACUGCUGAGAGACUUGUCUACGCUCUACUUGACACUCAAAGCGAUACAACAUUCAUCGACCAAGAAGUGAGUGACAGUCUAAAUGCUGACAAGUAUCCAGUGAAGUUGAAGCUGACGACCAUGAGUGGAAUGAACAUGGUUCUCUCAAGUGAGAGUGUUUUCGGCCUCUGUGUAAGGGGAUACAGCUCUGCAAUUCAGUUUGAUCUCCCAGUUGCCUACUCAAAGGACUGCAUACCUGUAAACCGUGCUCAUAUUCCCACUUGUGAGACGGCUAAGCAAUGGAGUCACCUCAGAGAAAUAGCAGAAGAAAUCCAACCUCUGAAGGACUGUGAAAUAGGGCUCCUGAUAGGCUAUAACUGCUCUAGAGCCAUGGCACCAAGGCAGGUUAUUCUAGGAGGAGAUGAGGAACCUUAUGCUGUACGGACAGACUUAGGAUGGAGUAUUGUGGGGCGCUCAUCGCAAAGCUAUGAUCCGCCGAGCUCAAGUCGCCUGUGCCACAAAAUCUCCAUUAAAGUACUGCCUCCGGUAACUCCGGCCGACGCUAUUCGCAUUCUGGAAUCUGACUUCAAGGAUGAUAGUGAAGACAGCAAAACAGUGUCACAAGAUGACAUCACCUUCCUCAACAAGCUAAAUGAGGGCAUACAGAAAAACAAACAUGGCCAUUACCAAAUGCCUCUACCCUUCAAAAACAGACCCAGUAUGCCUGACAACAAAAACUCAGUCAUGAUACGCCUCAACCACCUCAAAAGAAAACUGCAGCGGGAUGAAAAGUAUAAGGAGCAGUAUGUCAAGUUCAUGGAGGAGAUCAUCGAAAGGGGAGAUGCAGAGCAGAUCGAAGACGGUGGGAGUGAAGUUGAGAGAUGGUACAUUCCCCAUCAUGGUGUUCGGCACGCAAAGAAGCCAGAUAAGCUUCGUGUAGUGUUCGAUUGCUCUGCCAGACACAAAGGAACCAGCUUGAACGACCAUCUCCUCUCAGGGCCUGACUUGCUGAACAACUUGAGCGGUGUUCUUAUCCGCUUCCGACGUUACCCUGUUGCUUUGAUGUGUGACAUUGAAAAAAUGUUCCAUCAAUUCCAUGUGGAUGAGGCUGAUCGCAACUACCUGCGCUUUCUUUGGUGGAAGCAAGGAGACUUGAACUCACCGCCCAGUGAGUUCCGUAUGAAGGUGCAUCUGUUCGGUGCAGCCUCCUCCCCUGGAUGUGCAAACUUCGGGAUGAAGCAUCUAGCUAAGGAGAAUGGCGACCUCUACCCUAAAGGCUCACAGUUUAUCAUGAGGGAUUUCUAUGUUGAUGAUGGCCUCACCAGUGCUGGCAGCACCGAAGAAGCUGUUCAGCUUGCCAGAGAAGCUCGUGAACUCUGUGCCAUGGGUGGACUCCGAUUACACAAAUUUGUGUCAAAUGAGAGAAAUGUCCUAGAAAGUAUACCGCCCUCUGAAAGAGCAAUCAAUGUGACGAAUAUGGACCUCACGUUCGAUGAACUGCCGCUUGAGAGAGCCCUGGGGAUUCAAUGGGAUGUGGAGUCCGACCAUUUUCGUCUCAGUGUCAGCCUCAAGGAUCAGCCGGCAACACGUCGCGGCAUUAUUUCUACAGUUGCCUCCUUGUAUGAUCCUCUCGGGUUCGUGGCGCCAGUUCUGCUCAAAGCGAAGAUCAUUCUUCAGGAGAUGUGUAGGCGAGGCACAGGCUGGGACGAUCCUCUCCCUGACGAGCUCCGUCCAAAAUGGGAAAAAUGGAGAGAUGAUCUAGCUCAGUUGGAUAAUGUCACUAUACCCCGCACUUACUCACCAGCUGGAUUUGGGAAGGUUUUGAAGACACAGCUGCAUCAUUUCUCAGAUGCUAGCUUGAAGGGUUAUGGUCAGUGUUCAUACUUGAGACUACAAAAUGAGGAGGGAGACGUUCACUGUGCCUUAGUUGUAGGAAAAUCACGCGUCUCGCCAUCAAAAGUUACAACUGUUCCAAGAUUGGAACUGACGGCUGCAGUUGUCUCUGUGAAGAUGAGCAACAUGCUCAAGGAGGAAUUUGGAUCAGCUGACACUGAGGAGGUCUUCUGGACCGACUCUAAGGUGGUCUUGGGAUACAUAAAAAACGAAGCACGACGAUUCCACACCUUUGUGGCUAACCGUGUUCAGAAGAUUCACCUCAGCUCAGACCCUCAACAAUGGAGAUAUGUUCCAACCAAUGAGAAUCCUGCUGACCAUGCUUCCAGGAGCUUGACUCCCAGCGAGCUUUUGUCAUCCACCUGGUUCACUGGACCCAAGUUCUUGUGGCACAAGGAAAUGAAGCCGCCGGCAGAUGAAAUUCCAGAGUUAAUAAUUGGAGACCCAGAGGUCAGAAGUGCUUUGGUACUUAACACAAGAACUACAGAGCAAGCGAGCCUUGUUGAUCGUUUAUCUAAGUUCUCAUCUUGGUCACUGGCUAUUCGAGCUGUUGCACGCCUUUUAAGGCGCAUCAGAAAGAACAGAUCAAACAACCUCACCACUGUAACAGAACGAGAAGAUGCAGAACAUUGCAUAAUCAAAGACCUGCAGAAAAACGUGUACCAAGAAGAGUUGAAACUGCUGAGCAAAGGGGUCCCCCUACCCUCUCACAAUUCACUACACUCUCUUGAUGCCUUCCUCGAUAAAGAUGGUGUCUUCAGGGUGGGAGGAAGGCUGUGCAACUCUUCUCUUCCCAACUCCAUCAAGCACCCUGCAAUCAUUCCCAAAGAUCAUCACAUUACAAAAAUGAUCAUUGCUCAUCACCAUGAAAGAAUCGAACAUCAAGGUAAAGGCCUCACCCUCAAUGAGAUCAGGUCCCACGGCUACUGGAUUCCAGGAAUCAACAGGGCAGUAGCAUCGCACAUUCGUCAAUGCGUCACCUGUAGACGGCACCGGAAACCAACGGAAGAGCAAAGGAUGGCUGAUCUACCCCCCGAACGCGUGGAACCAUCACCCCCCUUCACCUUCUGUGGAAUGGACUGCUUUGGUCCAUUCCUCACGAAGCAAGGAAGAAAGGAGAACAAGAGGUAUGGUCUACUUUUCACUUGCUUUAGCUCCCGUGCCAUUCAUAUUGAGAUGCUUGAUGGCAUGUCCACAGACGCCCUCAUCAAUGGCCUCCGAUGCUUCAUUGCUAUGCGUGGUGCUGUUCGUCAGAUCAAGUCCGAUCAAGGUAGCAACUUCGUUGGAGCCAAAAACGAACUUAAGGAAGCUCUAAAGGAAGUUGAUGCAGACCGGCUGGCUGUAUUCCUUGCUGAAAAACAAUGUGACUUUUGCAUGAAUGCACCUUAUUCAAGCCAUGUCGGAGGUGUUUGGGAGAGACAGAUUAGGACGGUGAGAAGCGUUCUAAGGUCCACGCUUGCUCUUUCCUCUGGAAGGCUAAAUGAUGCUUCACUGCGGGCUUUUCUCUAUGAAGCUAUGGCAAUCGUCAACAGUCGACCACUGACUGUUGACAACCUCAGUGAUCCUCAUAGUCUUGAGCCACUCACACCUAAUCAUCUUCUGACUAUGAAAACUGUCAGGGCCUUACCACCUCCAGGCGAGUUCGUCAGAGAGGACAUGUAUGGCAAGAAAAGGUGGCGACAUGUUCAAUACCUGGCGGAACAGUUUUGGAGUCGAUGGCGAAAGGAAUACCUGGCCAACAUCUCUCUCAGACAACGUUGGCAUGCACCGAAGAGAAAUCUUCAAGUUGGAGAUAUCGUAAUGAUGAAAGGAGAGGAUGCACACAGGAACGAGUGGAGAUUAGGUAGAGUUUUAGAAACUACUAUUGACAAAGACGGACUAGUAAGGAGAGUUAAGAUCUGCCUCGGUGACAGGAAUCUUGGCAAGAAAGGAGAGCGUCUCCAUAAGAUGUCUGAAGUCGAGCGCCCUGUCCAAAGGCUAGUCCUGCUAUUGGAGACUAAUUAA